CGACGGACUGGGCGGCCGGCAGCAACGCCGGGUCGUUCGCGGCGACCUGGUCACGCAGCGCGCACAGGCCGGCCCCCGGUUCGGUGCCGAACUCCUCGA
RNAcentral lists this transfer RNA (99 nucleotides) under Lentzea sp. NBRC 102530. RNAcentral's name for it is "tRNA-Ala". Lineage: Bacteria; Bacillati; Actinomycetota; Actinomycetes; Pseudonocardiales; Pseudonocardiaceae. The record is from RNAcentral.